Molecule: long non-coding RNA, 1569 nt
Filed under: Homo sapiens (human)
Lineage: Eukaryota; Metazoa; Chordata; Mammalia; Primates; Hominidae
Description: HSALNT0332994
Source: RNAcentral
GAAGGAAGAAAGGAAGGAAGGAAGGAAGGAAGGAAGGAAGGAAAUGGUAAUUCUCUUAAAAAUAUUCCUUUGGUCUCAGUAUCUUACAGAAAAUGAGGAAAGGCUUGUGAGAGCAGACCUGAACUCCAUUCUACGUCUGACCACUCAGCCCAACAUGAUGGCAGCAGCAACAAUAAUUACUGAGAAACUGCCAAAGUUUGAGCAGAGAAAGGCAGUAGGCAAAGGAGCUGUAGACUGAAAAACAAGUGAUGGAGCAAUGAUCUUCAGGAAGUAGACCGAGCAAAAUCUAAAACAUGAAUAGAGAACAAGUCAGAGUGAGAAAAGGGCCAACUCUUCGUCUCCUGAAAGAAGAGGUUAGGGGUAAAGCAUGGGAAAAGAUGCUAGUACUCUUGUAGAGGUCAGGGAGAAUCUAAGCAAAUUCCCACCUGUUGCCCUCAAUUUUUCUCAGUAAAGUAACCAGAAGUUCAUCUGCUAAGAGUUAGAAAGCAUAUCAUAAAAUAACAGAAUGAAUGUUUUCAAAUACCUAUUACAGACAACAAGAGACAGUGAUGACUAAGAACACAUAAAAUUCACCACACAAUAUUGGGACACCAGUUGAAAUAUGAGACCAUGAAUUUAUAACAAUAACUCCAAGUAGAGCUAUAAUUUUUCUCAAGUCCCAGCAGUUCUACAGUAGGAGCCAAACAGACAAACAGACUGACCCAAGGUUUGUUAAUACCACCAUUUAUUCACUCAUCAAUUAUUGAGCAUCUAAAUUAUACCAGGAUGGUUGAAAGGACUGAUGAAACAACACUAAGAGAUUUGUGGAAUGGACUAGAAAGAAAAUGGAACAAGGAAAGUUAACUAUGCAUUUUAGAUGAGACGAAGUUUGGCAAAUAGGUUAAACAGGGAAAGAAAUAGAGCCAGAAAAGAAGAAAUGAAGUGGCUGGGGGUUGGAGAAAGAAAAAAAUGAAGGGGAAAAAAAGGAAGGAGAAAAGAAAAAGGACAGAAAGUUAUAACCAGAGUACAGACACAGGCAUUUAGUAUUUCUGAAGAAUAGUAAGGUCCAGUAUCUGGCAAUGGGAAUAGGUUGCUGAAACAAGGUGUAGGUGAUGACUGCUGGAACUGAUGUAUGAUGAAGUGAGAGGUGACAAUGUUGCCAAGACAUUAUAUCCAGACACUCAGAUUGCCAAAGAUAAUACAGACAUGAAUAGGAUAAGAAAGAGUUGGUCAAAUUUCCUACUGGAUGUGGGUGAAUGACCAAGAUAUCAAUUAAGGAUAGAAGACAGACAAUAAAAUGAAUAAAAUAUAAGAUAAUUCCAUGAUGAAACCAUAAAGAAAAAUGUUUUCCUAUGCAGUUAAAAAUAUAAAAGCUCAAAAGCACUGCAUCCACUCUUGUAGCACAUGGACUGAAUAAGAAGCCAUAUUUCUAGAGAAAAGUCAGAACAUGCAGAGGAAGCAGUCUGUUAAAAAGUUGAGGGUAAGCUAAAACUAUAAAAGUCUUAGAAGAAAACACAGCCAUAAAUCUAUAUGAACCUUAGAUUAGACACUGAUUUCUUAGAUGUAAUGCCAAAGCACAAACAACAAAAA